GGCCUGGGAUGGCCGUAGUGAUGAUGCAGACACAUAAAAAAUAAAGUCUGACGUUCCACCUCCACCCAAUCCCGUUUCCCCAUAGGUUGGAUUGGAUGGAGGUGGAGCGAUGGCGAAUUUAAGAAUAAAGCCAAGGGGCCAAUACCUUAAAUUCAUAAAGUGCCACAGAGACGAGACGACCGGAAACGGUCGGAGUGAAACGCGGUAAACUCCUCC
Molecule: non-coding RNA, 216 nt
Filed under: Mycoplasma sp.
Lineage: Bacteria; Bacillati; Mycoplasmatota; Mollicutes; Mycoplasmatales; Mycoplasmataceae
Source: RNAcentral